This 780-nucleotide ribosomal RNA is filed under the name Triticum aestivum (bread wheat). RNAcentral describes it as "partial small subunit ribosomal RNA". The record is from RNAcentral. Lineage: Eukaryota; Viridiplantae; Streptophyta; Magnoliopsida; Poales; Poaceae.
GGUGCCCUCUUCACCGCCGGCCCCGUCAACACCAGGCGCCGGAACGUCCUCAACAGCGACGAGAUCGACCGCCUCCCGAGUCGCGCGCCCCCGCGUUCCCUUCCGGCGACCGGCCCACCCCCCAACUUCUUCUGAACUUCUCCAACUUCCUCCCUAGUCUAGAGCUUUAAGUCCAGGCCCCUACAGCAAAAAAUCAGCGUCCACUCCUAUGGAAAUUCUUCUCCAAAAUCUUCCGGCGAUGUGGGCAUCCAGUCGCGGAGAGAUGUGCGGAGCGCUGCAUUCCGUCGUCGUCGACCCCGUGGCCGUGGGCAACCAGGCAGCUGAUGUAGAUACAUCCUGAGCGGUAGUGCUAUUCUACUGUCCACAUUGCAGAUAUAUGGUUGGUGAUUUGUCACUUGUUAAAUUACAUGAUGAGAUGACAUGAGCUGUGGAAAAGGAGCGAGCAGGACAUAAUAAAGAUGAUGUCCUGACUUCAUUUUUGGGACGGUUCGAAAUGUGUUUGGGUCAAUUUCUUCUUUAUUUUCUGGGUCACUAUCUUGUUCUUGCUCAUUUUGUUGAAAGAUGGUCUUGUGUUCUGUGAAGAUGUGAACAAAAAUAUGUAUUCACAACAAAGAACACAAAGAUGUUGUGGUAAUGUAAAGUCCGCCCCAGCAUCUGUAGUUUUCCAGAUUGCUAUGAAUAUUUUGUAAUCUUAACGGUGGCUUUGAUGCAAUUUAUUUCUGUAGAUGUAUAAAACAUGUUCGAUUCAUGGUGAACAAAAACAUGUUGCUGAAUGUCGAG